UACGUGGGGCUGCCUCUGAAGAGUGCUUGGAAACUUCAGCUGGUCCAUAGACCUGCAGCCGGGUUGCUCACUGGGGCUGGCUACAGGGAGUGGACAAUCCCACUGCUGAAGCAACUCCACUGGCUGCCAGUCUAUUUCUGGGCACAAUUCAAAGUGCUGGUUAAGACCUUUAAAGCUCUAGAUGGUUCCGGUCCAAGCUAUUUGGCUGACUGCAUCCCUUUGUACAAACCUGUUCAGGCCCUGAGAUCUUCAGGAGAGGCCCUUCUCUUGGUUCCACUUCCAUCUCAAGCUCAGUUGUUGAAACUUGAUACCUCUAGUCGUCGUGGUGCUAUAGCGGAGGGUAUCACUGCCACUUCUCCGCCAUCGGGGGAGGAGGCCUUUGUGAGAGGGGAUAGUGUUAUGAUUGAGCCUCAUGGCUCUGUUACUGACAGACGUGGGCGUAAGACUCCUCGAGAGUCAGAUACUCUCGAGGAGCGAGAGAGAAAAAGACUGCGAGACAUAUUUGCAGCACCAUCUGACGAGGAGUCUUUCGAAGGGUUUACGGAGAGAAUGGAGGAGGGGCUGGUUAGCUCAGAGGAGGAUGAGAUGGAUUGGACUCGGGUAAGGGAGGAAGUGGGUGCCACUGGCCAUGAUGGGACAGAAGAUGAAUGGGGACCUUCAGGAUUAGACCCAUGGUUUAGCUGGAGGGAUGGGACGGGAUCCACAGCUGGAGAUGCUGUUGGGCGUAGUCAGAGGUGUUCCAGCUCUGACGAGGAAAGUGAUGAGGAAACGCCCGGGUUAAGGAGGACAGCUGACAGUGAUGAGGAAACGCCCGGGUUAAGGAGGACAGCUGACAGUGAUGAAGAAACGCCCGGGUUAAGGAGGACAGCUGACAGUGAUGAGGAAACGCCCGGGUUAAGGAGGACAGCUGACAGUGAUGAAGAUUUGUACUGGCAUAAAAUGGGGCUUGAGAGCAAUUGCAAAUUGCGUUGGGCAAGGUAAUCUGGGCAAACGCUUGGGAUCCGUGUGUGUGUGGGACGCUUCCCUGAAGACUUGUGUGCUUUCCUGUGCUGUGACGUAAGUUGAUUGGAAUCCAGGGUCAGACGGCGGGAGGGAUUGUGUGGGCAUUUGUUUGUGCAAACCUGUGCUUACUCUUAUUAGCUUGACCUUCCGUCGUCUUCUUGACGGACGCCAUCUCCUGCUUUGAGAACUCGGACUGAACUGACCACGGCUUGUCUUCCCCCCUUCUUGGACUUGGAAAAACUACAAACGUCUGCUUCUGGCUUUGAUCUACGGAACGGAACUGGUCUACUCA
RNAcentral lists this long non-coding RNA (1294 nucleotides) under Anolis carolinensis (green anole). Its description in RNAcentral is "lncRNA (ENSACAG00000036437.1)". Lineage: Eukaryota; Metazoa; Chordata; Lepidosauria; Squamata; Anolidae. The record is from RNAcentral.